RNAcentral lists this transfer RNA (72 nucleotides) under Camelus bactrianus (Bactrian camel). It matches the Rfam family "tRNA". From Rfam's summary of the family: Transfer RNA (tRNA) molecules are approximately 80 nucleotides in length. Their secondary structure includes four short double-helical elements and three loops (D, anti-codon, and T loops). Lineage: Eukaryota; Metazoa; Chordata; Mammalia; Artiodactyla; Camelidae. RNAcentral also lists the same sequence under 2 other names. The record is from Rfam by way of RNAcentral.
GUGGGUAUAGCUUAGUGGUACAGCACGUGCUUAGCAUGCACGAGGUCCUGAGUUCAAUCCCCAGUACCUCCA